GUGUCAGCAGCCGCGGUAAUACAGAGGGGGCAAGCGUUAUUCGGAAUUAUUGGGCGUAAAGGGCGCGUAGGCGGCCUGGCAAGUGACGGGUGAAAUCCCUCGGCUUAACCGAGGAACUGCCUGUCAGACUGCUGGGCUUGAGACCGGGAGAGGUGAGUGGAAUUCCCAGUGUAGCGGUGAAAUGCGUAGAUAUUGGGAGGAACACCAGUGGCGAAGGCGGCUCACUGGACCGGAACUGACGCUGAGGCGCGAAAGCGUGGGGAGCAAACAGGAUUAGAAACCCUUGUAGUCC
Molecule: ribosomal RNA, 292 nt
Filed under: uncultured bacterium
Lineage: Bacteria
Description: partial 16S ribosomal RNA
Rfam family: Bacterial small subunit ribosomal RNA
Source: RNAcentral